UACGAAGGGGGCUAGCGUUGCUCGGAAUUACUGGGCGUAAAGCGUUUGUAGGCGGUUUUCUAAGCCAGUGGUGAAAUCCUGGGGCCCAACCCCAGAAUUGCCAUUGGGACUGGAAAGCUAGAGAGUGUUAGAGGUAAGUGGAAUUCCUAGUGUAGGAGUGAAAUCCGUAGAGAUUAGGAGGAAUAUCGAUGGCGAAGGCAGCUUACUGGGACAUUUCUGACGCUGAGAAACGAAAGCGUGGGUAGCAAACAGG
This 253-nucleotide ribosomal RNA is filed under the name uncultured bacterium. Its description in RNAcentral is "partial 16S ribosomal RNA". It matches the Rfam family "Bacterial small subunit ribosomal RNA", at positions 524 to 776 of the family's 1533-position model. The record is from RNAcentral.